This 648-nucleotide long non-coding RNA is filed under the name Gallus gallus (chicken). The record is from RNAcentral. Lineage: Eukaryota; Metazoa; Chordata; Aves; Galliformes; Phasianidae.
GUCAGGAGCUGAUCAGGAAAGUGACAGUAAAACAAAACCUUCUUCCGUGUUCUGGCCAGCCUAAGUAUCGGAAUGCAAGCAGACACCUGGUCGCAGAUGAAGGCGUCGGCGUGCUCCCCGCUGAGCAGGAGGACGUAGAGCGCCACGAAGGCCAUUCGCAGCGCGGCGCACACCGCGUGCCCGCGGCCCCACAGGCUGCGAGGCAGCCAGGCCCCGGCGCAGCGCAGCGCCAGCCGCCGCGUCUCGGCGAAGCAGCGCCCGGGGUCGUAGUGCGCCGUCCACACCUGCACCCGGCAGCCCCGGGCCUGCAGAGCCAGCGCCGCGUCCACCACCAGCCGCUCCGCGCCGCCCAGCCCCAGGUCCGGGUGCAGGAAUAGCACGGACGGGCCGCUCGUCUCCUCCUCCUCCUCCCGCUCCGCCAUGGCGCCGAGCGGCAGCGCGCACGCGCCGCCAACAGGCUCUAGGGCCACGUCAGCCUGUCCUGCCGGGCCGCCCCUCCACCUCCCCUACCGGGCUGCCCUGAUACUGCCGGGCGGCUCGUCUCAUGCCUUCUCGGUGCUGACACCCCAGCCUGGCCAUCUGCGGGGACGAAGACUCCAUGUGAAGGGGUCUCGUUAGGAAAGAGGCCCUACAGCGGGCGGAGAGGAG